UACGGGGGGGGCAAGCGUUGUUCGGAAUUACUGGGCGUAAAGAGCUCGUAGGCGGUCUGUCGCGUCUGCUGUGAAAAUCCAGGGCUCAACCCUGGACCUGCAGUGGGUACGGGCAGACUAGAGUGCGGUAGGGGAGAUCGGAAUUCCUGGUGUAGCGGUGAAAUGCGCAGAUAUCAGGAGGAACACCGGUGGCGAAGGCGGGUCUCUGGGCCAUAACUGACGCUGAGGAGCGAAAGCUAGGGUAGCAAACGGG
This 253-nucleotide ribosomal RNA is filed under the name uncultured bacterium. RNAcentral describes it as "partial 16S ribosomal RNA". It matches the Rfam family "Bacterial small subunit ribosomal RNA", at positions 524 to 776 of the family's 1533-position model. The record is from RNAcentral.